GGUCAUAUCAAAUGUGUUGCAGAUACCAAAACACUUAAUUGGGGCUGUUUGCUACAUAAGAUUAAGAAAGGAAAUUAACAGUCUUUGCCCUAUCAGAGUAACUAUGUCAAAUAUAGCUCCACCUGGACAUACAUCCAUAGCUAAAACAUAGUUCAUCAUGUAGGGCUAAGACAAGCAGAACACUGCUACCAGAAUGCACAUCUGAAGGGAAAAUUCUUGCUUAUUACUGAAACAUUCAAACACAACAUUGGCAGAUCAAAAAAGAAUAGAACUAUGCCUUGUAAAUAUAUUCCAAAUGGUGAUAGCUCGAGUGAAAUGUUUGUACCAUUAUUACAAUUGGCUGAUAAUUGGCUAUUUAGCAACCAGCCAUUUUAACAGAUUCACACCAGAUUCAAUUGACGCCGUUUGCUACUGAAUUACAUGUGUUUCAAUCAAGAUCAGAAUUGGGUCCGGGCAACAUCUUUAAGAACAAUGUUACAGCUUGUUUCUCCCGAUUAGAUACCGUUUGCCAGGGUGCAGGGGGACAUUCCAGCUGACUAGAUAUUAUUGAGAGGAUGCCGCAGAAAUUUGUGAAAUCUCGUGUCGUUAUUUAACUCCCAUCUCGUAGGAACAAGAGACGAAGCUGAUGACAACACACGCUCUCCCGAGAUUUUCAGCCUCUUCCACAAAUCAGAAAAACUUGCGAGAGGAUAGUUAAACUCGGCAACAAUCAAAACUAAAGACAGUUAUAAAACAGAGUAAGAAACUAAAGUAGAUGAUAGAUCAUGGCUCAGAUCGGUAUAACAGGUUUUUCAAUCAUGAAUUUUCAGAAGCAGAACUGGCAUGUUUGCUUGAAAUGUUUAUCAUCACCGCCAUGUACAAACAACAUAAUGACAGAAAUAAACCGAGAUCAGAAAGAAAAAGGGAUCUGGUAUUUGCAGUGGCUCAUAUUAAGAAAUUCAACCAUGUUUUCCCUUGUACUUCACGAGUUGAUCAGAAGCGCGGGUAAGAUUCUAAUCACAGCCACCAAACCACAAUCCAAGAUCCGAAACAAAAGAGGGGAAAACGAUGUGAUGCGAAUGUAUCCAUUACUCUGACACAGGCUGCUCAUCCACGCGUAGUGUCGCGGCCUGCAACACUGAACGGCGGUGUGGAUCUAGCACAGCAUUGGGGCUUUCCUUCAUCACAGCGGACCGAGAUCCGUCCGACAAGCCCGGGGUUAGCAUCGUGCAAGACAAGAAAAUUACUCAUCGGCAAGAGAAGAACGAGCAAAACGAAGGGAGAGAGAGAAAAAAGUGUACGCAAGCAACAAUCAUAUUGCCUACGGGAAGCCAUGGCAAUUGAAACGAUUUCUUGACGCGUCGAUCUAUCCCCUCCUCGCGAAGAUGGCGGCAUGGGGGCCGCCAACUUGUCAGGAAUCGAGAGGGGAAAACGCAAAUAAGCAGGAUCGAAUUUAUGAAAAAGAACGAAGAAAAUCGCGGAGGGGAAGAGAGGGGACGAGGGCGAGAGGUACGGGAUGAAGAUACGGCGGCGACGGCGGCGGCGGCGGCGGCGGAGGCGGGUGCUGGGAACCCUAGGAGGGAGAUGGGAUUGGAGGACCGCUU
Molecule: ribosomal RNA, 1583 nt
Filed under: Triticum aestivum (bread wheat)
Lineage: Eukaryota; Viridiplantae; Streptophyta; Magnoliopsida; Poales; Poaceae
Description: partial small subunit ribosomal RNA
Source: RNAcentral